RNAcentral lists this ribosomal RNA (405 nucleotides) under uncultured bacterium. RNAcentral describes it as "partial 16S ribosomal RNA". It matches the Rfam family "Bacterial small subunit ribosomal RNA", at positions 30 to 526 of the family's 1533-position model. The record is from RNAcentral.
AUUGAACGCUAGCGGGAUGCUUUACACAUGCAAGUCGAACGAGUGGCGGACGGGUGAGUAAUAUAUCGGAACGUGCCCAGUAGCGGGGGAUAACUACUCGAAAGAGUGGCUAAUAACGCAUAUUAUUGGAGCGGCCGAUAUCGGAUUAGCUAGGUGGUGGGGUAAAGGCUCACCAGGGCAACGAUCCGUAGCUGGUUUGAGAGGACGACCAGCCACCGUGGGACGGAGACAGGGCCCAGACUCCGACGUGAGGCAUCAGUGGGGAAUUUUGGACAAUGGAGGAAACCCUGAGACAGCCAUCCGGCGUGUAUGAGAAGGCCUUCGGGUUGUAAAGUACUUUUGGCAGAGAAGCGGUAUCUGCAGAAUAAGCACCGGCUAACUACGUGCCAGCAGCCGCGGUAAUUC